Molecule: ribosomal RNA, 209 nt
Filed under: uncultured bacterium
Lineage: Bacteria
Description: partial 16S ribosomal RNA
Rfam family: Bacterial small subunit ribosomal RNA
Source: RNAcentral
UUCAGAUUGCAGUCUGCAACUCGACUGCAUGAAGUCGGAAUCGCUAGUAAUCGCGGAUCAGCAUGCCGCGGUGAAUACGUUCCCGGGCCUUGUACACACCGCCCGUCACACCAUGAGAGUCGGGAACACCCGAAGUCCGUAGCCUAACCGCAAGGAGGGCGCGGCCGAAGGUGGGUUCGAUAAUUGGGGUGAAGUCGUAACAAGGUACC